UAUAGACUAGGUAAUCUGCCUACUACAGACGUGCACUGUAGAUUAGGCCCGCUGUGAGCCGUUUGGGUUGUAUCUUGGAGCCGUCGUUGACCGCCAAUACCUGCACGUGGGGAGGCAACAACGGCUUUAGGACAGUGCGUCUCUUGGCGUGCCUCUCACACCUCACAGGCCAGAUAUUUUCUUACCACUAUUUUAUUAUAAUUGUUAGAUUU
Molecule: long non-coding RNA, 212 nt
Filed under: Phoenix dactylifera (date palm)
Lineage: Eukaryota; Viridiplantae; Streptophyta; Magnoliopsida; Arecales; Arecaceae
Description: long non-coding RNA (PDAC_LNC006703)
Source: RNAcentral